GAUGAAGAACGCAGCGAAAUGCGAUAAGUAAUGUGAAUUGCAGAAUUCAGUGAAUCAUCGAAUCUUUGAACGCACCUUGAGCCCUUUGGCCAUUCCGAAGGGCAUGCCUGUUUGAGUAUCAUGAACACCUCAACUCUCAUGGCUCGCCAUGAUGAGCUUGGAUUUGGGGGUCUUGCUGGCCUGUGGUCGGCUCCUCUCAAAUGGAUCAGCUUGCCAGUGUUUGGUGGCAUCACAGGUGUGAUAACUAUCUGCGCUUGUGGUUUUCCAUCAGAUAACCUUCAGUGAUGGAGGUUCGCUGGAGCUCAUAAACGUCUCCCCUGAGCGGGGACAGCCCUUUGAAUGUUUGAUCUCAAAUCAGGUAGGACUACCCGCUGAACUUAAGCAUAUCAAUAGGCGGAGGA
Molecule: unclassified non-coding RNA, 401 nt
Filed under: soil metagenome
Description: partial contains 5.8S ribosomal RNA, internal transcribed spacer 2, and large subunit ribosomal RNA
Rfam family: 5.8S ribosomal RNA (bases 1-121)
Source: RNAcentral